This 219-nucleotide long non-coding RNA is filed under the name Setaria italica (foxtail millet). Its description in RNAcentral is "long non-coding RNA (SITA_LNC002144)". The record is from RNAcentral. Lineage: Eukaryota; Viridiplantae; Streptophyta; Magnoliopsida; Poales; Poaceae.
GAAAACAAAGAUAUAAUACGAACAUUGUAUUCUGGCUCUGUACACCAUCAACAGCAUAAACAAUAAUUAGCAACUAUAUCAUGAAAAAUUUGAACCAAAUGAGCUAUAGAAAGAGAAUACGUGCAUACAUCAGAGCAUCCAAAUGGGCAGAUAUUGAUACGCAGAAGAUUUCUUACAGUGAAUGCAUCAUGUCAUACUGAUGCCUUCAGCAGACUGAAG